This 253-nucleotide ribosomal RNA is filed under the name uncultured bacterium. RNAcentral describes it as "partial 16S ribosomal RNA". It matches the Rfam family "Bacterial small subunit ribosomal RNA", at positions 524 to 776 of the family's 1533-position model. The record is from RNAcentral.
UACAGAGGGGGCAAGCGUUGUUCGGAAUUACUGGGCGUAAAGGGCGCGUAGGCGGCCUGCUAAGUCGAACGUGAAAUCCCCGAGCUCAACUCGGGAACUGCGUCCGAUACUGGCAGGCUUGAAUCCGGGAGAGGGAUGCGGAAUUCCAGGUGUAGCGGUGAAAUGUGUUGAUAUCAUCAGGAACUCCGGUGGCGAAAGCGGCAUGCUGGACCUUCACUGACGCUGAUGCGCGAAAGCUAGGGGAGCGAACGGG